This is a long non-coding RNA of Homarus americanus (American lobster), 1325 nucleotides long. RefSeq lists it as uncharacterized. Lineage: Eukaryota; Metazoa; Arthropoda; Malacostraca; Decapoda; Nephropidae. The record is from RefSeq and is a predicted model, not a curated record. The transcript is spliced from 2 exons.
ACCGCCCCUAAGAACAGGUGUCUCUGUUCUCGUGUCCUAAGUCCACCUUCAGGACCCCCCCUUAAGUCCCGUAUCCCCUCACUGAUCCUAGGCCCUUGGAAUCCUAUAGGGCCAUCAGCCAAAAUCCUUUACCAACCAUCCUCUUCUGAGUCCUUUUUCUCUCCCUCCUCUCCCUAGGAUCCACCCUGAUCCCAUCCUUUUAUCCUCCGGUACAAUAGGAUUACUCAAGUCGUCACAUCCUAUUCCGCCUUAUAGAGACAGAAGGAUACUAAGAAAAUUCAUACAUAUCCUGUGGUGUUGAAAAAGGAAGCUGCUCAUCCUCGUCUCCCAGUUCGAGGAGCGGAGUGGUCCCAUGUUGGUGUCGAACCUUUGUCCUCGUCUUUACCUUGCUAGCCCCGGAGCCAUCUGCGUGUCUGUGUGUGUGUUAUAACUUGCUUUGUGAUCCACACCGUCACCAUAGUUGGCAAUUUGUAGAUAUUUUCAGUGUAGUAUUGAUCAGCAGGACUUAAAUAAGGUUCCUGUGCAUUUAUACCAAGAUUCACGUUGAGAAAAUUCCUGUGCAUUUAUACCAAGAUUCACGUUGAGAAAAUUCCUGUGCAUUUAUACCAAGAUUCACGUUGAGAAAAUUCCUGUGCAUUUAUCAACAUACCCUUUCUACAUUAAUUCUGUAACGCAAUUUGUGCUCUGUGUUUACUGUUUGUGUUACAUAUAGAAAGAGAAACACGUAAAUCCCUUCUGUUGGGUCCAAGAGGAAAAACAAAAUCGUAAGUUCUAAUUCUGUCACAAAGUGGUCCUGAAAAGUUGGACUCUUGAACGGAUAGAAAACUUAGAAUCUUCAUCAUCAAUAACAAUAACAACAGCAAUAACAAUAACAGCGUGAGAAGAAAGUGAUUGAGGAUUUACAUGACAAUACUUGGAGGACGACAGUACUUUUGGAGAACGGCAGGUACUUUUGGAGAACGACAGGCGAUUUUGGAGACAACACGACACUUCAAAAGACUAUAACUGCUGAUGCUUAAGUUAAGAGGAGGAUAAGUUAUGUCGUGUUCGAGUAUAACUUCUAACUAUUAAUGUAAGAAACGACAUCAACCACCACCACCACUUUAUUCGACACAACAAGGAAAAAUAUCGUUAAAAUUCGUUCAAAAUAUGUAUGUGAUUUUAAAAACGAGUGAGUAAUUGAACUUAACCUAACCCGGAAAAGAACCCAAAUUGUUUUUUAAGAACCUUGUGUGACCCCUCAAAAGAAACCCAAUUGUCUUUAAAGAACCUAGUGUGCUUUAAAAGAACCCAGUGUAUCUGCUUGAAAGAACCACCACUCCCCC